This 2880-nucleotide ribosomal RNA is filed under the name Candidatus Pseudoramibacter fermentans. Its description in RNAcentral is "23S ribosomal RNA". It matches the Rfam family "Bacterial large subunit ribosomal RNA". The record is from RNAcentral. Lineage: Bacteria; Bacillati; Bacillota; Clostridia; Eubacteriales; Eubacteriaceae.
UAAAUGGAUCAAGAGAACAAGAGCAUCAGGAGGAUGCCUUGGCACCGGAAGCCGAAGAAGGACGUGACAAGCUGCGAAAAGCCGCGCGGAGGAGCUUAAAAUCUUAUGAGACGCGGAUAUCCGAAUGGGGAAACCCAUCUGGCUGGAGGCCAGAUACUGUGAUGUGAAACAGCUUGCUGAUAGCAUCACAGAGGGAACCCGGGGAACUGAAACAUCUAAGUACCCGGAGGAAAAGAAAGCAAACGCGAUUCCUCAAGUAGCGGCGAGCGAACGAGGAACAGCCCAGUAAUGAAAAAGCUUAGGUUAUAGCCGAACAGCUUGGGAAAGCUGACCAUAGGAGGUUAGAGUCCUGUAGGCGAAAUAACUUAAGUGGGAGUUACGAUGAGUACCACGGAACACGUGAAACUUUGUGGGAACAUGGGGGGACCACCCUCCAAGGCUAAAUACUAACCGGUGACCGAUAGCGAAUAGUACCGUGAGGGAAAGGUGAAAAGAACCCCGGAAGGGGAGUGAAAUAGAAACUGAAACCUGAUGCUUACAAGCAGUCGGAGCGCAAGUGACGGCGUGCUUUUUGUAGAACGGGCCAACGAGUUACGGUGUGCAGCGAGGUUAAGCACUUCAGGUGUGGAGCCGAAGGGAAACCGAGUCUUAAUAGGGCGUCUAGUUGUAUGCUGUAGACCCGAAACCGUGUGAUCUAUCCAUGGGCAGGGUGAAGCGCAGGUAAAGCUGUGUGGAAGCCCGAACCAGUGUCUGUUGAAAAAGGCUUGGAUGACCUGUGGAUAGGGGUGAAAUUCCAAUCGAACACGGAGAUAGCUGGUUCUCCCCGAAAUAGCUUUAGGGCUAGCGUUGCAGUAAGACUGACGGAGGUAGAGCACUGACUUGGGUAGGGUGCAAAAUGCAUACUGAACCAUAUCAAACUCCGAAUGCCGUACAGCCAUCUGCAGCAGUCAGACUGUGGGAGAUAAGUUUCAUGGUCAAAAGGGAAACAGCCCAGAUCAUCUGCUAAGGUCCCUAAGUACUGAUUAAGUGGGAAAGGAUGUGCCACUGCAUAAACAACCAGGAUGUUGGCUUAGAAGCAGCCAUUCAUUCAAAGAGUGCGUAACAGCUCACUGGUCGAGUGGCGGUGCGCCGAAAAUGAACGGGGCUCAAAUCAGUCACCGAAGCAAUGGAUUAUACUUUAUAGUAUAGUGGUAGGGGAGCAAUCUCUUGUAGGGCGAAGCGAUAUCGUAAGGUAUCGUGGACGAAAGAGAAGAGAGAAUGUUGGCAUGAGUAGCGAAAGUGAAGUGAGAAUCUUCACCAUCGGAAGCCCAAGGAUUCCUGAGGAAGGCUCGUCCGCUCAGGGUAAGUCGGGACCUAAGCCCAGGCCGAAAGGCGUAGGCGAUGGACAAUCGGUUGAAAUUCCGAUACUGAUCACUUAUGUUUGAGAGAUGGAGUGACACAGGCGGGAAAGCAGACCCGGGCGUUGGUUGACCCGGGCCAAUCAUCGAGGCUGUUCAAGGAGGCAAAUCCCUUUGGACAAGGCUGAGGUGUGAUGGGGAACGAAAAAUAAGUAGGGAAGCUGCAGACUCAUACUGUCAAGAAAAACUUCUAUUGAGUAAGGGAUCACCCGUACCGCAAACCGACACAGGUAGGCAGGAAGAGAAUUCUAAGAUGAGCGGGAGAAGUGUUGUUAAGGAACUCGGCAAAAAUACUCCGUAACUUCGGGAGAAGGAGUGCCCCGAAAGGGGUCGCAGUGACUAGGCUCAAGCGACUGUUUACCAAAAACACAGGUCUCUGCUAAAUCGAAAGAUGAAGUAUAGGGGCUGACGCCUGCCCGGUGCUGGAAGGUUAAGAGGAGUACUUAGCGCAAGCGAAGGUGCGAAUUGAAGCCCCAGUAAACGGCGGCCGUAACUAUAACGGUCCUAAGGUAGCGAAAUUCCUUGUCAGGUAAGUUCUGACCCGCACGAAAGGCGUAACGAUUUGAGCACUGUCUCGACAACACACCCGGUGAAAUUGUAGUACUCGUGAAGAUGCGAGUUACCCGCGACAGGACGGAAAGACCCCGUAGAGCUUUACUGUAGUCUGGCAUUGGAUUUCGAUAUGUCAUGUACAGGAUAGGUGGGAGGCUGAGAAAGUUGUGCGUCAGCAUAGCUGGAGCCGAUGUUGGGAUACCACCCCUGAGAUAUUGGAAUUCUAACAAAGCGCUGUGAAACCAGUCUUCGGACAGUGUCAGAUGGGCAGUUUGACUGGGGCGGUCGCCUCCUAAAAUGUAUCGGAGGCGCCUAAAGUUACCCUCAUGAUGGUUGGAAAUCAUCAAUAAGAGUGCAAAGGCAGAAGGGUGAUUGACUGCGAGACAGACAUGUCGAGCAGGGACGAAAGUCGAGCUUAGUGAUCCGGUGGUACCGAGUGGAAGGGCCAUCGCUCAACGGAUAAAAGCUACCUCGGGGAUAACAGGCUUAUCUCCCCCAAGAGUCCACAUCGACGGGGAGGUUUGGCACCUCGAUGUCGGCUCGUCUCAUCCUGGGGCUGAAGCAGGUCCCAAGGGUUGGGCUGUUCGCCCAUUAAAGAGGCACGCGAGCUGGGUUCAGAACGUCGUGAGACAGUUCGGUCCCUAUCCGUCGUGGGCGUUAGAAAUUUGAGAGGAGCUGUUCCUAGUACGAGAGGACCGGAACGGACGGACCUCUGGUGCACCGGUUGUUCCGCCAGGAGCACAGCCGGGUAGCCAAGUCCGGAAGGGAUAAGUGCUGAAAGCAUCUAAGCACGAAGCCCCCCUUAAGAUAAGAUAUCUCAUCCCUUAAAGGGAGUAAGGCCACUGAUAGACGAUCAGGUGAUAGGCUGGAGGUGAAAGCACAGCAAUGUGUUCAGCUGACCAGUACUAAUCGGCCGAGGUCUUGAUCCAAA